Molecule: ribosomal RNA, 69 nt
Filed under: Paenibacillus polymyxa
Lineage: Bacteria; Bacillati; Bacillota; Bacilli; Caryophanales; Paenibacillaceae
Also listed under: 6 other names
Description: partial 16S ribosomal RNA
Rfam family: Bacterial small subunit ribosomal RNA
Source: RNAcentral
GGGUAGAUGAUUGGGGUGAAGUCGUAACAAGGUAGCCGUAUCGGAAGGUGCGGCUGGAUCACCUCCUUU